Molecule: long non-coding RNA, 839 nt
Organism: Odocoileus virginianus texanus
Lineage: Eukaryota; Metazoa; Chordata; Mammalia; Artiodactyla; Cervidae
Source: RefSeq, a predicted model, not a curated record
CCUUAGCUGGGGCCCUGGGGUGCCAGGCUGCCCUGGGGCCGAUGGGGCUGGGGUUCAGGCCUGGUACCUGUGUUGGUAAAGGACCCUGCCCGAGCCCACCACCCUCGCCCGAGGGUCCCAGCCUCCUCUCGCAGGCCCGCCGUGGCUCUGACCCAACUGUGGUUGACGUCCGGCCCCAUACCCACCUGGGGGUGCCCAAUCCCCAGAGGCCGCCCGUGAACUGGCUGUCACAGACCACAAUGCCCCACCCGCGUGGGUGCAGACAGGGCAGCUGGGGGCCUCCGCACUUUCUCCACUGCACACCUGCCCCACCAGGCUCCGGAAACUCAGCUCCCACCUUGGGGUGGGUGUCCAUGUCCUGGGCUGCCCCCCAGCCUCCUCUGCCCACCAGAAUGGUCAGUAGUGUCACUGAGCUGGCCAAGCGGCUGCUGUGCCCCAGCCCCCACCCCCUGGGCUGGGCAGACUCUCUCCAGUCAGCGUCUCAGGCCCGGGGAGCAGAGAAGACUCAGUUUUUCCUGCUGAAUUCACCACCAAUGAACACGUGAAAAUCUUCCUACUUGUGUACUUCCAAAGACCCAGCCCAGGGACUUUCCUGGUGCUCCAGUGCCUGAGACUCAGCGCUCCCAAUGCAGGAGGCCCGGGUUCCACCCCUGGUCAGGGAACUAAACCCACGUCACGCCACAGCUCUAGAUCCUGCACAGUCAUCAACCUCGGAGAUCACAAGCACCGCCACUAAGACCCAGUAGGGCCAAAUAAACAACAAGUGCUAUUUUAAAAAGUACUCUUUGCUAAAACAACAAUAAAGCCCCAGUGUGCCUUUCAGCCAAACCCAUCUGAAA